This is a long non-coding RNA of Tympanuchus pallidicinctus (lesser prairie-chicken), 637 nucleotides long. RefSeq lists it as uncharacterized. The transcript is spliced from 4 exons. NCBI's taxonomy places the organism in Eukaryota, Metazoa, Chordata, Aves, Galliformes, Phasianidae. The record is from RefSeq and is a predicted model, not a curated record.
ACUUACCUAGGCAAAGGUCUUCUACAGGCUCAAGCAGCAUGAUUUACCUCACUACUAUAGGAGGGCCAAGACUUAUGCUGCAUUUGCAAAGCUUUUUGGUCACAGCUGUUCUGCUGACGAAGGCAUUAUUUGCACUGAUGUGGUAAGAGUGGGAUGCAGUAAGAUUUGGUUCACAGAAAUUCCAGCAAUCAGUCCUCACUGUGACACCAUGUAUUAUGUAGACUUACUGCAAUAGAAACACUCCCACCCUAAUCAGCCUUGCAAUUCUGGGAACAGAGCUGACUUGCACUUCUCUUUGAAACAGCAGCACGACUGCUUCCACCUGCAAGCAGAUAUCCAGUAAUUUAGCUAGCUGACACACUGACAUGUCUGUGCAUACAUGAAACAAGCCCAGGGAGGCUGGCCCAAGCAGAGGUACCUUAAACUGGUGACAUCUCUUAAUCUGUUAAAGACCCUCACAUCAAUACCAAACUCUUGGUUUAACUGCUGGACUUUCUCUAAACUGAAGUGGUAGCAUCCUUUCUGUGUCUCUGAGAAGAUUACUUCCAUGAAUGCAGAUGCAUAUGGAAUACCAGUGUUUCAGCUUUGCUAUUCUUGAUAGAGAAGGAAACCGUAUAUCUUUACUUGCUCUACACUA